RNAcentral lists this non-coding RNA (29 nucleotides) under Rattus norvegicus (Norway rat). Lineage: Eukaryota; Metazoa; Chordata; Mammalia; Rodentia; Muridae. The record is from RNAcentral.
UCCAAUGGCAUGAAAUGCUCCCUCUAUUU